This 253-nucleotide ribosomal RNA is filed under the name uncultured bacterium. RNAcentral's name for it is "partial 16S ribosomal RNA". It matches the Rfam family "Bacterial small subunit ribosomal RNA", at positions 524 to 776 of the family's 1533-position model. The record is from RNAcentral.
UACGAAGGGGGCUAGCGUUGCUCGGAAUCACUGGGCGUAAAGCGCACGUAGGCGGACUCUUAAGUCAGGGGUGAAAUCCUGGAGCUCAACUCCAGAACUGCCUUUGAUACUGGGAGUCUUGAGUUCGGGAGAGGUGAGUGGAACUGCGAGUGUAGAGGUGAAAUUCGUAGAUAUUCGCAAGAACACCAGUGGCGAAGGCGGCUCACUGGCCCGAUACUGACGCUGAGGCGCGAAAGCGUGGGGAGCAAACAGG